This 481-nucleotide ribosomal RNA is filed under the name Mycobacterium sp. dtb94. RNAcentral describes it as "bacterial SSU rRNA". It matches the Rfam family "Bacterial small subunit ribosomal RNA", at positions 1 to 506 of the family's 1533-position model. The record is from RNAcentral. Lineage: Bacteria; Bacillati; Actinomycetota; Actinomycetes; Mycobacteriales; Mycobacteriaceae.
UGAGUUUGAUCCUGGCUCAGGACGAACGCUGGCGGCGUGCUUAACACAUGCAAGUCGAACGGAAAGGCCCUUCGGGGUACUCGAGUGGCGAACGGGUGAGUAACACGUGGGUGAUCUGCCCUGCACUUUGGGAUAAGCCUGGGAAACUGGGUCUAAUACCGAAUAUGAUCAUGCUCUUCAUGGGGUGUGGUGGAAAGCUUUUGCGGUGUGGGAUGGGCCCGCGGCCUAUCAGCUUGUUGGUGGGGUAAUGGCCUACCAAGGCGACGACGGGUAGCCGGCCUGAGAGGGUGACCGGCCACACUGGGACUGAGAUACGGCCCAGACUCCUACGGGAGGCAGCAGUGGGGAAUAUUGCACAAUGGGCGCAAGCCUGAUGCAGCGACGCCGCGUGAGGGAUGACGGCCUUCGGGUUGUAAACCUCUUUCAGCACAGACGAAGCGCAAGUGACGGUAUGUGCAGAAGAAGGACCGGCCAACUACGU